UUUAUUUGAUAGUACCUUUACCUGGAUAACCGUGGUAAUUCUAGAGCUAAUACAUGCUAAAAACCUCGACUUCGGAAGGGGUGUAUUUAUUAGAUAAAAAACCAAUGCCCUCCGGGGCUCCUUGGUGAUUCAUAAUAACUCAACGAAUCGCAUGGCCUUGCGCCGGCGAUGGUUCAUUCAAAUUUCUGCCCUAUCAACUUUCGAUGGUAGGAUAGUGGCCUACCAUGGUCUUUACGGGUAUCGGGGAAUCAGGGUUCUAUUCCGGAGAGGGAGCCUGAGAAACGGCUACCACAUCCAAGGAAGGCAGCAGGCGCGCAAAUUACCCAAUCCCGACACGGGGAGGUAGUGACAAUAAAUACUGAUACAGGGGUCUUUUGGCUCGUGUAAUUGGAAUGAGUACAAUCUAAAUCCCUUAACGAGGAACAAUUGGAGGGCAAGUCUGGUGCCAGCAGCCGCGGUAAUUCCAGCUCCAAUAGCGUAUAUUAAAGUUGUUGCCGUUAAAAAGCUCGUAGUUGAACCUUGGGCCUGGCUGAUCUGUCCUCCUAAUCGAGCGCACGGAUUCGGUCGGGCCUUUCCUUCUGGGGAGCCCG
This 590-nucleotide ribosomal RNA is filed under the name Muellerella atricola. RNAcentral's name for it is "SSU rRNA". It matches the Rfam family "Eukaryotic small subunit ribosomal RNA", at positions 116 to 711 of the family's 1831-position model. Lineage: Eukaryota; Fungi; Ascomycota; Eurotiomycetes; Verrucariales; Verrucariaceae. The record is from RNAcentral.